RNAcentral lists this ribosomal RNA (82 nucleotides) under Paenibacillus hunanensis. Lineage: Bacteria; Bacillati; Bacillota; Bacilli; Caryophanales; Paenibacillaceae. The record is from RNAcentral.
CAUCCCGAACACGACCGUUAAGCCCUCCAGCGCCAAUGGUACUUGGACCGCAGGGUCCUGGGAGAGUAGGACGUCGCCAAGC